This 19-nucleotide small nuclear RNA is filed under the name Arabidopsis thaliana (thale cress). Its description in RNAcentral is "snRNA_07536". Lineage: Eukaryota; Viridiplantae; Streptophyta; Magnoliopsida; Brassicales; Brassicaceae. The record is from RNAcentral.
AGUACAUCCUAAUAGGGGA